Molecule: ribosomal RNA, 289 nt
Filed under: uncultured cyanobacterium
Lineage: Bacteria; Bacillati; Cyanobacteriota
Description: partial 16S ribosomal RNA
Rfam family: Bacterial small subunit ribosomal RNA
Source: RNAcentral
ACGGUACCUGAGKSAUCAGCUUCGGUUUACUCCGUGCCAGCAGCCGCGGUAAUACGGAGKAGGCAAGCGUUAUCCGGAAUUAUUGGGCGUAAAGCGUCCGCAWRUKGCUAUUUAAGUCUGCUGUCAAAGNCCGGAGCUCAACUCCGGGUCGGCAGUGGAAACUGGAKAGCUANAGUNCGGUAGGGGUARAGGGAAUUYCCGGUGUAGCGGUGAAAUGCGUAGAGAUYGGGAAGAACACCGGUGGCGAAAGCGCUCGUACUGGCGCCGCCGUGUUGACNCUCACGGACCA